GGGCCCGCACAAGCGGUGGAGCAUGUGGUUUAAUUCGAUGAUACGCGAGGAACCUUACCAGGGCUUAAAUGUAGUGGGACAGGUCUAGAGAUAGACCCUUCUUCGGACUCAUUACAAGGUGCUGCAUGGUUGUCGUCAGCUCGUGCCGUGAGGUGUCAGGUUAAGUCCUAUAACGAGCGCAACCCCUAUCGUUAGUUGCCAGCGGGUAAUGCCGGGAACUCUAGCGAAACUGCCGGUGCAAACCGUGAGGAAGGUGGGGAUGACGUCAAAUCAUCACGGCCCUUACGUCCUGGCUACACACGUGCUACAAUGCUACGGACAGACGGCCGCAAACCCGCGAGGGGGAGCCAA
Molecule: ribosomal RNA, 351 nt
Filed under: uncultured bacterium
Lineage: Bacteria
Description: bacterial SSU rRNA
Rfam family: Bacterial small subunit ribosomal RNA
Source: RNAcentral